ACACAAGAAGGGAGGUGGUCCGGAGAAUGAUCGACUGUCGGACGCGUGAGGUGGCCGCCAGCUAGCCGCCCCGCUCGCAGCGCGGUGCGCGGCGGGCUAAUCCCAAGCAGCUACCCGACCCGCGGGCUCGCCGGUACGUCCGUCCGGCGCCUGGUUCCGGCCCAGCCGACCAGGAAGCAGCCCGCGGGUUGUCCAUU
RNAcentral lists this small RNA (197 nucleotides) under Wenjunlia vitaminophila. Its description in RNAcentral is "Streptomyces vitaminophilus Actinobacteria sRNA Ms_IGR-5". It matches the Rfam family "Actinobacteria sRNA Ms_IGR-5". The record is from Rfam by way of RNAcentral. Lineage: Bacteria; Bacillati; Actinomycetota; Actinomycetes; Kitasatosporales; Streptomycetaceae.